RNAcentral lists this ribosomal RNA (254 nucleotides) under uncultured bacterium. RNAcentral describes it as "partial 16S ribosomal RNA". It matches the Rfam family "Bacterial small subunit ribosomal RNA", at positions 524 to 776 of the family's 1533-position model. The record is from RNAcentral.
UACGUAGGAGGCGAGCGUUGUCCGGAAUUACUGGGCGUAAAGCGCGCGUAGGCGGCGCGAUACGAGCGGUGUGAAAGCCCCCGGCUCAACUGGGGAGGGUCACCGCUAACGGUCGUGCUGUGAGUGCAGGAGAGGGAUGUGGAACUCCGGGAGUAGCGGUGAAAUGCGUAGAGAUCCGGAAGAACACCGGUGGCGAAGGCGGCCCGCUGGGCUGUUGCUGACGCUGAGGCGCGACAGCGUGGGGAGCAAACAGG